GGCCAUCUGAGAUACAAUGUGAUAGAAUGAUAGUAAGGCAAAGGUUUAUGAUUUUCUAGGACAGCAAUUUGAUGGGAGUCAAGACUUAAAAUUAUGAUCACUAGAGAUGUAAUGGAAGAGUAUUGGAACUUAAGUUGAUGAAAAUUAAGAACGGACAGUGUUGGAUUAUUAAGGAUAUGACAUAUAGUGGAAAAUGAGUAAAGAUAUU
This 208-nucleotide long non-coding RNA is filed under the name Elaeis guineensis (African oil palm). RNAcentral's name for it is "long non-coding RNA (EGUI_LNC022823)". The record is from RNAcentral. Lineage: Eukaryota; Viridiplantae; Streptophyta; Magnoliopsida; Arecales; Arecaceae.